RNAcentral lists this ribosomal RNA (274 nucleotides) under uncultured bacterium. RNAcentral describes it as "partial 16S ribosomal RNA". It matches the Rfam family "Bacterial small subunit ribosomal RNA", at positions 523 to 796 of the family's 1533-position model. The record is from RNAcentral.
AUACGGAGGGUCCAAGCGUUAUCUGGAUUCAUUGGGUUUAAAGGGUCCGCAGGCGGGAAAAUAAGUCAGUGGUGAAAGCCUACAGCUCAACUGUAGAACUGCCAUUGAUACUGUUUUUCUUGAGUAUAGAUGAAGUGGGCGGAAUAUAUCAUGUAGCGGUGAAAUGCAUAGAUAUGAUAUAGAACACCGAUUGCGAAGGCAGCUCACUAAACUAUUACUGACGCUCAGGGACGAAAGCGUGGGGAGCGAACAGGAUUAGAAACCCUAGUAGUCC